UACGUAGGGUGCAAGCGUUAAUCGGAAUUACUGGGCGUAAAGCGUGCGCAGGCGGUUGUGUAAGACAGAUGUGAAAUGCCCGGGCUUAACCUGGGAACUGCAUUUGUGACUGCACGGCUAGAGUGUGUCAGAGGGGGGUAGAAUUCCACGUGUAGCAGUGAAAUGCGUAGAUAUGUGGAGGAAUACCGAUGGCGAAGGCAGCCCCCUGGGAUAACACUGACGCUCAUGCACGAAAGCGCGGGGAGCAAACAGG
Molecule: ribosomal RNA, 253 nt
Filed under: uncultured bacterium
Lineage: Bacteria
Description: partial 16S ribosomal RNA
Rfam family: Bacterial small subunit ribosomal RNA
Source: RNAcentral